This 448-nucleotide ribosomal RNA is filed under the name uncultured bacterium. Its description in RNAcentral is "bacterial SSU rRNA". It matches the Rfam family "Bacterial small subunit ribosomal RNA", at positions 330 to 795 of the family's 1533-position model. The record is from RNAcentral.
CCCAGACUCCUACGGGAGGCAGCAGUGGGGAAUAUUGCACAAUGGGGGAAACCCUGAUGCAGCGACGCCGCGUGAGUGAAGAAGUAUUUCGGUAUGUAAAGCUCUAUCAGCAGGGAAGAUAAUGACGGUACCUGAGUAAGAAGCCCCGGCUAACUACGUGCCAGCAGCCGCGGUAAUACGUAGGGGGCAAGCGUUAUCCGGAUUUACUGGGUGUAAAGGGAGCGUAGACGGCAUGGCAAGUCUGAAGUGAAAGCCCGGGGCUCAACCGCGGGACUGCUUUGGAAACUGUUAAGCUGGAGUGCAGGAGAGGUAAGUGGAAUUCCUAGUGUAGCGGUGAAAUGCGUAGAUAUUAGGAGGAACACCAGUGGCGGAGGCGGCGUACUGGACUGUAACUGACGUUGAGGCUCGAAAGCGUGGGGAGCAAACAGGAUUAGAUACCCCGGUAGUU